Molecule: ribosomal RNA, 253 nt
Filed under: uncultured bacterium
Lineage: Bacteria
Description: partial 16S ribosomal RNA
Rfam family: Bacterial small subunit ribosomal RNA
Source: RNAcentral
UACGUAGGGUGCAAGCGUUGUCCGGAAUUAUUGGGCGUAAAGAGCUCGUAGGCGGUCUGUUGCGUCGGCUGUGAAAACCCGGGGCUCAACCCCGGGCCUGCAGCCGAUACGGGCAGACUAGAGUUCGGCAGGGGAGACUGGAAUUCCUGGUGUAGCGGUGAAAUGCGCAGAUAUCAGGAGGAACACCGGUGGCGAAGGCGGUGGUCUGGGCCGGAACUGACGCUGAGGAGCGAAAGCGUGGGGAGCAAACAGG